UCAUAUUAAAUGAUAAACAUAAUUAAAAUGAACAAAAGAAAUAACCUGUUGUGUUUUAGAGAGGAAUAACUAUGUCCAUGAUGUCUGACUUUAAAGAAUUGAUGAAAAUAAAGUAUGGUGUGAGCCUCAAUGAGACAGUAACCCUUCAAUGAAAGUACACAAUCACACUUAACAAAUCAUUAAUGCAGGAAAAAAGACAACACUAUAUAGAAUUUAGACCCCC
RNAcentral lists this long non-coding RNA (223 nucleotides) under Mytilus galloprovincialis (Mediterranean mussel). The record is from RNAcentral. Lineage: Eukaryota; Metazoa; Mollusca; Bivalvia; Mytilida; Mytilidae.